RNAcentral lists this ribosomal RNA (492 nucleotides) under uncultured bacterium. RNAcentral describes it as "partial 16S ribosomal RNA". It matches the Rfam family "Bacterial small subunit ribosomal RNA", at positions 29 to 507 of the family's 1533-position model. The record is from RNAcentral.
AGUGAACGCUGGCGGUAGGCCUAACACAUGCCAGUCGAACGGCAGCACAGUAAGAGCUUGCUCUUACGGGUGGCGAGUGGCGGACGGGUGAGGAAUACAUCGGAAUCUACUUUUUCGUGGGGGAUAGCGUAGGGAAACUUACGCUAAUACCGCAUACGACCUACGGGUGAGAGCAGGGGAUCUUCGGACCUUGCGCGAUUGAUUGAGCCGAAGUCGGAUUAGAUAGUUGGCGGGGUAAGGGCCCACCAAGGCGACGAUCCGUAGCUGGUCUGAGAGGAUGAUCAGCCACACUGGAACUGAGACACGGUCCAGACUCCUACGGGAGGCAGCAGUGGGGAAUAUUGGACAAUGGGCGCAAGCCUGAUCCAGCCAUACCGCGUGAGUGAAGAAGGCCUUCGGGUUGUAAAGCCCUUUUGUUGGGAAAGAAAAGCAGCAGGUUAAUACCCCGCUGUUCUGACGGUACCCAAAGAAUAAGCACCGGCUAACUUCGUG